GGGACGACUGGUAUUUGGCGCCGAGCCCUAGUCGACGAAUGAGCAACACCGACCUUUGGUCAGUGGGCACCUUCGACCGAUCCCUCAUCGAGCGGCUCUCAACGCCAAUCUUAGGACAUCCAUAAUACAAUUCCGACUUAUCAUUGGCCAGACCGAUUCACAGUCGGCCGACCGACUAAAUAUCGAUGACUGCAAUGGACCUUCAGACUCGCAUUGCAGAAUGAGUCUCAGCCAAAUUACAACACGAUCACCCAAUUCUCAAUCGGUGAUAAGGAUGUGGACAUCCGACUAUUAGCCGAACACGUCGACAAACAUUCGGAUGCUCUCAAUCGACCCCUUAGCCAGACCAAGUCAACUGUGAAGGCUCGACUAACUCUUCUGCCAAUGUCCAGUCGGUAUCAGAAUCACGAACCGACAGUCAUUCGGAAUCCUACAAGUACCGACAUUCGGUCAGCACACUCAAACAACCAACAUAACGUCGACAUAUCAGAAACCACCAGUGCAAAAAGCGCAUAAUGGCCAUAUAUCAUGAUCAGUAGUGGGUAUAACCGCCCAUCCCACAAUCACAGUGCCGAAAUAAGCGAGACCCACGUGUCUAACCAUUAUAAACGGUUACCAACAACUCGUCUAUAAAAGAAAGUAAAUGAACAGUAUUGGUAAGAUAUUUUUGGACUAAUACUCUGCCUCUCUAAACAUUCAUCUGCUGUUCAUCACUUCCCACUGACUUAAGCAUCGGAGGGUCUCCGUCGGACAUAAUUUCUGUCAGUGCAGACUUCUUUCUGCAGCUGCACUUCUCCGACGACGGCACAACAAGGGAUUGGCCACAACAGGUAGGAUCUUUGAAAUUUGGAGGAUCUUCAACCAGAUAUCCCACCUUUCGUUGGAUACCAAUAAAUAGUUUGAACGAUUGGACCCACAAAAGGUAGUGCCAUUGAACUUUACUGUAGUUGCUGUUAGAUUUCUUAUCGCAACGUCAGAAUCGAAAGUCAGAGGUGUCGAGAUUUGUUUGUUGUCGUAAUUUGAGGAUGCCAUAGCAAUCAGAGAAAAAAAUAGAAAUAGCCAGACAACCAGGCAGGAGAGUUGUUUAUUAUCGUUAUUUGAGGAUGUUAUAACAAUUAGAGAAGAGGACAGAAAUAGCC
Molecule: long non-coding RNA, 1139 nt
Filed under: Elaeis guineensis (African oil palm)
Lineage: Eukaryota; Viridiplantae; Streptophyta; Magnoliopsida; Arecales; Arecaceae
Description: long non-coding RNA (EGUI_LNC077690)
Source: RNAcentral